This 23-nucleotide microRNA is filed under the name Human alphaherpesvirus 2. RNAcentral's name for it is "hsv2-miR-H6-3p". Its record names the gene hsv2-miR-H6-3p. The record is from miRBase by way of RNAcentral. Lineage: Duplodnaviria; Heunggongvirae; Peploviricota; Herviviricetes; Herpesvirales; Orthoherpesviridae.
CCCAUCUUCUGCCCUUCCAUCCU